RNAcentral lists this transfer RNA (67 nucleotides) under Plectrocnemia tortosa. RNAcentral describes it as "tRNA-Leu". Lineage: Eukaryota; Metazoa; Arthropoda; Insecta; Trichoptera; Polycentropodidae. The record is from RNAcentral.
ACUAAUUUGGCAGAUUUAAUUGUAUUAACUUUAGAAGUUAAAUUAUAUAUUUAUAAUAUAAUUAGUA